UUUGGCUGGGGCUGAUGGUGUGGCAGUUUAUGUAGUCUCCCCCUUCUCCAGCACUUCUGGUACAUUAGCGAGAAGCUAUUGGAAACAGCAUUGAAUUAUCAUAGCCAUUUGUGACUCAGCUACCUUAUAACUCUCCUAUGCUUUGACAUCUCCAGGGUGGUGUCUGUAUGCAGGUGUAUGGUGGGCUGGUGAAAUGGCUAACAGGUGGUGAGCCUGGGCGUAGUGGCAGUAAAGGUUCGAUGUGAGCGACACCAUUGACCGGUCUAGGUGGUGUAUAACCAUUCCAACGUGCAGGCUCUGGAAGCAGCUGACUCACCGUGUGUGUGUGGGGUUGUGUGUGGUUGUGUGUUGUGUGUUGUGUGUUGUGUGUGUGUGUGUGUG
This is a long non-coding RNA of Pygocentrus nattereri (red-bellied piranha), 381 nucleotides long. RefSeq lists it as uncharacterized. The transcript has 3 exons. Lineage: Eukaryota; Metazoa; Chordata; Actinopteri; Characiformes; Serrasalmidae. The record is from RefSeq and is a predicted model, not a curated record.